RNAcentral lists this long non-coding RNA (244 nucleotides) under Salvia miltiorrhiza (redroot sage). RNAcentral's name for it is "long non-coding RNA (SMIL_LNC004208)". Lineage: Eukaryota; Viridiplantae; Streptophyta; Magnoliopsida; Lamiales; Lamiaceae. The record is from RNAcentral.
CUCAGAAGUGUUUGAUAAAAUGUCCGAGUUAAAUUUGAGUUUGUAUGUUGCUGAAAAAUGUAGAGAAACCGAGCAGCUCAUAUCAUCAUCGGAGAAGGAAAACACUGUGGGAAGUGGCGGCGGUCGACGGGUCGAGGCAGAUCCACUCUUAGAUGCUUCGUGCUGGCCUCCGUUAUCCGCCAACAAGCUCAUUCAGUCCUCCGCUCUCUUCCAAUUCUGCAGCUAACGAGAUGUUCGACCAAAU